This is an RNA transcript of Carya illinoinensis, 4803 nucleotides long. It is a transcript of the gene named probable disease resistance protein At4g27220, with no coding region annotated. The record is from RefSeq and is a predicted model, not a curated record. The transcript is spliced from 7 exons. Lineage: Eukaryota; Viridiplantae; Streptophyta; Magnoliopsida; Fagales; Juglandaceae.
AUUUCUAUCUAAACUACAUUUUGCUCAAAAUCGCUCUGCUGCUCUGCUAUUGUUUUCCAACGUCACUUUCUCAAAUCCAUACAUACAUUUCUGUGUUACAUAUAUACUUUCUGCUUUCAAGAGGAGGCCGUAGAGGUAGAAGUAGACUUUGUCUUGUUAUUUAUCAAAGAAGUUAAAAAAACCAAAACCAAAAACAGAAAACUACUUUUGAAAAAAUGGAAAUCCUUUCAUCAAUUAUUGUAAAAAUAGGAGAAUACUUGGUUCUUCCAAUUGGAGAACAAUUUGGCUAUCUUAUUUCCUACAAGAGUAGUAUCAUGAUUCUUCAAGAGAAAUUUUCGAAGCUACGUGAGAAAAAGGAGGCGGUGCAACAAUCUGUUGAUGGAGCCCUAUGGAAUCAAGAAGUAGUCCCAAGUGAAGUUAACACGUGGCUAACAAAUGUGGGGGAAAGAAUUGAAGAAGUGCAAAAAUUCCUUGAAGAAGAUGUCAAAACUAACAAGAUGUGCAUGAAUGGUUGGUGUCCUAAUAUGAAAAUCCGGUAUUCCUUGGGCAAGAAAGCUCAGAAGAAUACUCGAGCCAUCGUUGAGUUGCUAGAAGAAGGUGGAAAAUAUGACAAGGUGUUCAAUAUUUCACCCCCAUUGAAAGUGAGAUCAUCAACCACAGAACGGUUUAAGGAUUUUAGAUCACGACAAGCAAUGAUUCGAAAUGUUUUGGAGGCUCUAAGGGAUGAAAAAAUCGACAUGAUUGCAAUAUGUGGUAUGGGAGGUAUUGGCAAGACAGAAAUGGCAAAAGAAAUAGCUAGAAGAGUCAAAGCUGAUGAUUUAUUCCAUGAAGUUGCCAUUGCAGUUGUGUCUCAAAGUCCAAACUUGACAAAGAUUCAAGGUGAACUUGCAGAAAUGCUAGGUGCGAGACUUAAUGCAGAGAGUUUACAAGGAAGAGCAAAUGAAUUAUAUUCAAGACUGACGAAGAGUAAGAGUGUCCUUGUGAUAUUGGAUGAUGUUUGGGACCCACUUGAUCUUGAGGUUGUUGGAGUUUACCAUGCAUUAAAAGAAAAGAGCUGCAAAAUCUUGUUGACGUCAAGAAGUGAAGAAACUUGCAAUCAGAUGAGAUUUCAAAAGAUUUUUCGAAUUGGACUUUUAUCCAAAGAAGAAGCUUGGAAUUUUUUCAGAGAGAUGGCAGGUGAUUGUAUCAAUGCCCCUAAUCUAAUCUCAAUAGCAAAACAGGUUGUGAGGGAAUGUGCAUGUUUGCCCAUUGCUAUAGUGACGGUUGGAAGUGCUCUUAGAAACAAAAGAGAUGAAUUUGAGUGGAAAGCUGCACUGCACCAACUUAAAAUGUCUAUCCCACAAAAUAUCCCUGGUCUACAUCCAAAGGUAUAUUCUAGCAUAGAGUUCAGUUACAAUUAUUUAGGAAGUGAUGAAGCCAAAUCAUGUUUGUUGCUAUGUUGUUUGUAUCCCGAAGAUUAUGAUGUUCCAAUUGAGCAUUUAGUCAGGUAUGGAGUUGCAAAAAGGUUUCUUAAAGGCUUUAGUAUUGUGGAACAAAUAAGAGCACAUGUCAACACAAUAGUUCGGAAUCUUCAAAGAUCAAAUCUCUUGUUGGUUAGCAAAAGCAUCGAAUGCGUCAAAAUGCAUGAUAUUGUACGAGAUGUUGCUAUAUCAAUUGCAUCCAGAGAUGAACAUGGUUUUAUGGUAGAGUUGGAUAGAAGACAUGAAGAAUGGCCACAAAAGGACACAUAUGACAGUUACACCACAAUUUCUCUUUUACUUGGAGAAAUGAAAGGGCAUCUUGAUGGGUUGAAAUGUCCCAAACUUCAACUUUUGCGACUAUCAUGUUUAAAGGAUUCAGAAAUAUUGCUAGGCAAUUUAUUUAAUGGGAUGAAUGAGCUAAGGAUGUUGUCUUUACAAGAAGGCUGCUUCUCCUUGAAUUCAUUGCCACCAUCAAUCCAGAUCCUCGAAAACCUUCGUAUGUUGAAUCUUGAGAGCUGUCGUUUAAGAGAUGUGUCAGCAAUUGGAAGCCUUGGAAAACUAGAAAUUCUUAGUUUUCAUGAUUCCAAGAUCGAGGAGUUACCAUGGAAAAUAGGAAAUCUUAGUCAAUUGAAGUUGCUAGAUAUGAAGGGAUGCAAUUAUCUAAAGCGAAUUGCAGCUGGUGUCUUAUCCAAUUUAUUUCGACUACAAGAGUUGUACAUGCCAAGAUUCAAGAACUGGAAAUGUACUACUACGAUGGAAGGAAAUGGAGAAGGAACAAGUAACAAUGCAAGCCUUGCUGAACUAAUUCCUUAUUUUGGUCAAAUGACGGUUUUAGAAAUUAGCGUACUAAGUAUCGGGUGCUUGCCUAAAGAAUUGCACUUCAGUAACUCCAGUUUGAGAUUUAGGAUAAACACUGAAGAUGAUGGGAGAUAUUUAUUUGAAAAUGAAAUUAGCCUCGAAGGGGAGGAUGCAAAUGAUCUUGGAAAAAUUCUGGAAAUGGUCAUUAGUAGGGGUGUUUUUGGCAACCAAAUUCAUUGUCGAAUAGCUAAGUGCAAGCGUUCGGAAAGUAUAUUUUGGUUGGCCAUGGUGAGAGAUUUGGUUCAACUCAAAUCGUUAGAGGUUUUACAUUGUGAAAAGAUACAAGAACUUUUUUCAGAGGAGGGAGAAGAUAAGGAGAAAGUCAUUGGUGAUGCCAUUACAUUGCCGAAGAUGGAAAAAAUACGACUAUCUUCCUUACCAAGGCUCAUUGGUAUCUCUAAAUCCAUGAACUUGGUUGAGGUUGAAGGAGGAGGCAACACUUCAUCAACAACCCUCUCUCAUAAACUAUUUUCAUCCAACACCAUUUUCUGGUUUCCCAAUUUGAAAUUCCUUGAAGUAGAUGAUAGUGGAUCACUAGAAGUGAUAUUUGAUCUGGAAGGACUAAAGGUCAUAGAGAAAUGCCAGCCCAUCCUAGCACUUUCUCAAUUAACAAGUCUACAUUUCCGGUUGUUAGAUGAGAUGGCACAUGUGUGGAAGAAUAUUCCAAGAGGAUUUCAAGGUUUUCAAAAAUUAAAAUCAAUUAAAAUCUGGAAAUGUUGUAAUCUUAGAAGUUUGUUUCCUUUUUCUGUUGCAAAACUACUUGUUCACCUUCAAAAGGUACAAAUAAGUUUUUGCCAAUUGAUGGAAAAUAUUAUUGAAAGAGAGGACGAAGGUGGAGAUGAAAGGAAAGCAGAUAUUAUUGUAUUCCCUCAAAUUCAAACCUUCCAUCUACAUGGUCUAGAAAAUCUUGUGAGUUUCAGUAGUGAAGCCCAUUCUUUUGAGUGGCCAUCCAUAGAGGAGAUUGCUUUGUUUAAUUGUCCAAAAUUAAAAACAUUUGAUUCUGAAGUUCAAAGCGAAAAAAAGCUAAGAAAGAAGGAUACAAAAUUGGAUGCAAGAGCCCCCCAAGUGCCUAGUGCUGGCUCCUCCUCAACAAGAGAAUCUUUUAGAUUUUUCAAUCGAUGCCUAGAGUUGUCUGGUGUACGACGGCAUAGGAGUUACAAUCCAGACCAAGGAUAUUGCAGCUCCACAUCGGGAGAGAGCAAACACAACCUUAACAAAGAGGUUACAUUGACGAAUCAAGAUGAGCUUGAAAAUCAAACAAAGAUGUGCUCUCUUUUUCCAUACAACUUGAUCGAAAGUUUGGAAAAUCUUAAAAAACUUUUGGCAUCUAAAUGUGAUUCACUGGAAGUGAUAUUUGAACUUGAAGGACUAAAUGUUGAAGAAAGCAAUAUAUUCAAUAACUUGGCAGAGUUGUCAUUAAAAACUUUACCGAAAGUGCUGAAUAUAUGGAAGAAAGGUCCACGAGAUAUCAAGGGAUUCAAUAACUUGAGGUUGCUAAAAGUAUGGGGAUGUGAUAGUUUGAAAUGUUUAUUCACACUAUCCAUAGCAAAACUUCUUGUGAAGUUAGAGAAAAUAGAAGUACAUUACUGCAACCAAAUGGAAGAAAUCCUUGCAAAAGAAUCAGGAGACGAGAAGAAAAGAGAUGUGAUUACAUUCCCUCAAGUGAAGACCCUCUCGCUCAGGGGUUUACCAAAAUUAGAAUGUUUUUGCAAUGAGGCGAUAGCUUUUGAGUGGCCGUCUUUGGAAAAAAUGACAAUUGUUGGAUGUGAAAAAUUAAAAAUGUUUGUUUCAACAAGUAUGCAAACACCUAAGCUAAAAGGAGUGCAUACAGGGUCUGAAACUUUUCAACCAAUGAUAGAAGGAGACCUCAAUACCACCAUACAACACAUUAUCAAAAGAAAGGCGAAUUUACAGGAGAUCUCACAGAGCUCCAGGUCUCCAUAGCAGAGCCUGCUUGUCCCCAUUUCGAGGUUGUUUUGGUUGCCAAGAAUGGUGCUUGCUGGCACUUUAGAAUUUGUCUUGCAUGGGAUCAGACCUGCAUGGAGCAAUGGGAGAGAAUAUGGGGAGUCUGUUAUGAUCCCGUUGUAAGGCGAUGUCAUUUGCUGGAGGUUAAGUAGAUGCAGGAUGCAGUGUUUUGGUGAGGAUGUGGAGAUUCAGGACUACCAUCAAGUGCACCAUUUUGGGCAAGGGGAUAGUGGAACUCAACAUUUCACCUAUUAUAAUAAAGUCCCUUUCCAUUCUACAGUAGCUUAUUUCCGUGUAUUACUUUAUUGUCUUAUUUCUUGCUUUCCGUUAGUUAUGAACACGUGUUAAUUAAUGUAUGGUUCUGUUAAUUCCCCUGCAUGGGAUAUAAUGGGAGGGAGGGGAAAUUGCUGAGAUAUUCUGGAAUCUGGAAAAGUAGUCUGAACUUGUAUUUGCAUUUUGGAGGUUUGGGAGCCCUCGAAGUUACUCCCGUAUAUCAAUACUUAGUAGUGCAUUUCCUUUA